This 492-nucleotide ribosomal RNA is filed under the name uncultured bacterium. RNAcentral describes it as "partial 16S ribosomal RNA". It matches the Rfam family "Bacterial small subunit ribosomal RNA", at positions 29 to 507 of the family's 1533-position model. The record is from RNAcentral.
AGUGAACGCUGGCGGUAGGCCUAACACAUGCAAGUCGAACGGCAGCACAGUAAGAGCUUGCUCUUAUGGGUGGCGAGUGGCGGACGGGUGAGGAAUACAUCGGAAUCUACUUUUUCGUGGGGGAUAACGUAGGGAAACUUACGCUAAUACCGCAUACGACCUACGGGUGAAAGCAGGGGAUCUUCGGACCUUGCGCGAUUGAAUGAGCCGAUGUCGGAUUAGCUAGUUGGCGGGGUAAAGGCCCACCAAGGCGACGAUCCGUAGCUGGUCUGAGAGGAUGAUCAGCCACACUGGAACUGAGACGCGGUCCAGACUCCUACGGGAGGCAGCAGUGGGGAAUAUUGGACAAUGGGCGCAAGCCUGAUCCAGCCAUACCGCGUGGGUGAAGAAGGCCUUCGGGUUGUAAAGCCCUUUUGUUGGGAAAGAAAAGCAGCAGGUUAAUACCCCGCUGUUCUGACGGUACCCAAAGAAUAAGCACCGGCUAACUUCGUG